Molecule: ribosomal RNA, 477 nt
Filed under: uncultured bacterium
Lineage: Bacteria
Description: partial 16S ribosomal RNA
Rfam family: Bacterial small subunit ribosomal RNA
Source: RNAcentral
GAUGAACGCUGGCGGCGUGCCUAACACAUGCAAGUCGAACGAAGCACCUUACCUGAUUCUUCGGAUGAAAGUUUGGUGACUGAGUGGCGGACGGGUGAGUAACGCGUGGGUAACCUGCCCUGUACAGGGGGAUAACAGCUGGAAACGGCUGCUAAUACCGCAUAAGCGCACGAGGAGACAUCUCCUUGUGUGAAAAACUCCGGUGGUACAGGAUGGGCCCGCGUCUGAUUAGCUGGUUGGCAGGGUAACGGCCUACCAAGGCAACGAUCAGUAGCCGGUCUGAGAGGAUGAACGGCCACAUUGGAACUGAGACACGGUCCAAACUCCUACGGAAGGCAGCAGUGGGGAAUAUUGCACAAUGGGGGAAACCCUGAUGCAGCAACGCCGCGUGAGUGAAGAAGUAUUUCGGUAUGUAAAGCUCUAUCAGCAGGGAAGAUAAUGACGGUACCUGACUAAGAAGCUCCGGCUAAAUACGUG